UGGGGAAUCUUGGACAAUGGGCGCAAGCCUGAUCCAGCCAUGCCGCGUGAGUGAUGAAGGCCCUAGGGUUGUAAAGCUCUUUCAACGGUGAAGAUAAUGACGGUAACCGUAGAAGAAGCCCCGGCUAACUUCGUGCCAGCAGCCGCGGUAAUACGAAGGGGGCUAGCGUUGUUCGGAUUUACUGGGCGUAAAGCGCACGUAGGCGGAUCGUUAAGUGAGGGGUGAAAUCCCAGGGCUCAACCCUGGAACUGCCUUUCAUACUGGCGAUCUGGAGUUCGAGAGAGGUGAGUGGAAUUCCGAGUGUAGAGGUGAAAUUCGUAGAUAUUUGGAGGAACACCAGUGGCGAAGGCGGCUCACUGGCUCGAUACUGACGCUGAGGUGCGAAAGUGUGGGG
RNAcentral lists this ribosomal RNA (394 nucleotides) under uncultured bacterium. RNAcentral's name for it is "bacterial SSU rRNA". It matches the Rfam family "Bacterial small subunit ribosomal RNA", at positions 355 to 766 of the family's 1533-position model. The record is from RNAcentral.